This is a long non-coding RNA of Oreochromis aureus, 513 nucleotides long. RefSeq lists it as uncharacterized. The transcript is spliced from 2 exons. The record is from RefSeq and is a predicted model, not a curated record. Lineage: Eukaryota; Metazoa; Chordata; Actinopteri; Cichliformes; Cichlidae.
GGGAAAGACAAGAAGAUCUUUUUCAUGACUGCCAGGAAUGUGAGGAUUACACAGACAAUAUGAUGAAGGUGAUCGUGAUCCACAACAUCAUGGCUGAGGAGGAUCCAUCAGAUGUGUCCAUUGUGAUUGAGGGAAACCAAGUGGUGGAGGGAUGUGGAAGCCGAACAAAGGCAUGUGUACUGCUGAUGGGACUGAUAUAUGCCCUCAACCUCGAAUAUCCAAAGGAGCUGAAGAACAGAUUUGACACUUUUCAAAAACUGUUUUUGGAACUUGGAGGGGCGAAACUACUGAACAAGGUCCACGGCCUCAAAAAUGAGCUUAUGCAAUGCACACACAUUUCCCCUCUUGUUCCCAGAUGUUUGAUAACGUUCAUGCACAGAAACAACCUUGUAGAGUUUCUGUGCUCUUGGCUUUUAAAAUGGACUAAGUCGCCUUUGAAAGUGUUGUCUGCAUUAGCUGUUGUGUUGCACUUUAUUCUGUGUUUUUAUGGAAUAAAAACAUUGAGAUAAUGAA